Pseudophryne corroboree (corroboree frog) is the source of this 861-nucleotide long non-coding RNA. RefSeq lists it as uncharacterized. The record is from RefSeq and is a predicted model, not a curated record. Lineage: Eukaryota; Metazoa; Chordata; Amphibia; Anura; Myobatrachidae. The transcript has 3 exons.
CGUGACCUUGCUAGCGCAGUGGUGCGCACUCCCUGCGCCUCUGUGCGGAUCCAGUGCUAAGAGGGAGGCCGGACGCGGACGCGGCGCUGGCUGAGAUGGUCCAGCUCCUCCCCUUUACUCACAUGUCCUUCCCUUCCUGUCACUGCCUCCCCUCGGGACGCUGCUGUUGCAGGGGUUUACUGGCGCCACAUCCAAAUGAUGGGGACCCGCGCCUGCCGUAGCUAAAGACCGGACCCGCUGUUGAUGCUAAUGCCGCGGACCCGCUGCUCAGGAAGUUGAACUGAGGGAAGUCUGCCGGCAGACACCGCAUCCAUCCCCAGGAACGGACAUCCACCACUGUACACAGGUGACUUCACCGGCCCUUUUGAAGCAAACUCCGGAGGAGGUAUGCUGAUGUGCAUUUUCUGGAGUUCAAUGCAUCCUCCUACAGAACACCGGUCCCUUCGUUGUGACUAGUGCACAGAUGAUACUGGGGAACGAAGACUCUUUCCACCGUUUGAUGCACUUAUGAAAUGAUGAUCAAUACCAAGUUACAGACAGUAGUUGAUAAGGAGCAGGCUUUAUUGGUAAACCAAAAUUAUCAUACAGUAAGCACUAUAAAACCGUCAUGUAGAACCAAACAUUAAAGUACAAUCUAGUUCCCACUAUCCGACAUUCUGUAUGACAAAUACUGUGCACUCAGGAGUAUAACUACCCGAAAUAACCAAUUACUAAACUAUUUAUAGUCUGUGAAAUCUAUAAGAUGUUUAUUUCGAAAGGAAAUGAGUGGGGCCUACUAUGAGUGGGUGUUUUUUAACUUCAGUCCUCAAGUACUCCCAAACAGUCAUGUUCUAAGAAUUAGUAUAGGAACAUGUUUGUCAA